Molecule: small nuclear RNA, 103 nt
Organism: Suncus etruscus (white-toothed pygmy shrew)
Lineage: Eukaryota; Metazoa; Chordata; Mammalia; Eulipotyphla; Soricidae
Source: RefSeq, a predicted model, not a curated record
GUGCUCGCAUCGGCAGCACAUUUACUAAAAAUUGGAACAGAGAAAAUUAGCAUAGUCCCUGCACAAGGAUGACACGCAAAUUCGUAAACUGUUCCAUAUUUAU